UCAGAAACUGUUGAACUNGAGUGCAGAAGAGGAGAGUGGAACUCCAUGUGUAGCGGUGGAAUGCGUAGAUAUAUGGAAGAACACCAGUGGCGAAGGCGGCUCUCUGGUCUGCAACUGACGCUGAGGCUCGAAGGCAUGGGUAGCGAACAGGAUUAGAUACCCUGGUAGUCCAUGCCGUAACGAUGAGUGCUAAGUGUUGGGAGGUUUCCGCCUCUCAGUGCUGCAGCUAACGCAUUAAGCACUCCGCCUGGGGAGUACGACCGCAAGGUUGAAACUCAAAGGAAUUGACGGGGGCCCGCACAAGCGGUGGAGCAUGUGGUUUAAUUCGAAGCAACGCGAAGAACCUUACCAGGUCUUGACAUCCAGUGCAAACCUAAGAGAUUAGGAGUUCCCUUCGGGGACGCUGAGACGGGUGGUGCAUGGCUGUCGUCAGCUCGUGUCGUGAGAUGUUGGGUUAAGUCCCGCAACGAGCGCAACCCUUGUCAUUAGUUGCCAUCAUUAAGUUGGGCACUCUAAUGAGACUGCCGGUGACAAACCGGAGGAAGGUGGGGAUGACGUCAAGUCAUCAUGCCCCUUAUGACCUGGGCUACACACGUGCUACAAUGGACGGUACAACGAGAAGCGAACCUGCGAAGGCAAGCGGAUCUCUGAAAGCCGUUCUCAGUUCGGACUGUAGGCUGCAACUCGCCUACACGAAGCUGGAAUCGCUAGUAAUCGCGGAUCAGCACGCCGCGGUGAAUACGUUCCCGGGCCUUGUACACACCGCCCGUCACACCAUGAGAGUCUGUAACACCCAAAGCCGGUGGGAUAA
Molecule: ribosomal RNA, 811 nt
Filed under: uncultured bacterium
Lineage: Bacteria
Description: bacterial SSU rRNA
Rfam family: Bacterial small subunit ribosomal RNA
Source: RNAcentral